ACCGUCCGGACUUGCCGGUUCCCCUAGAGAAUGCAGAAGGAAAUAGAAUCAGAUUAGAAGGGGAAGAAGCCUGGAGGAAUUGAAAUUUGAGACAGCCCUGCAAGUUCGUGUUUCAGGACCUAAUGGAGGGGGAGGGGGAGUAGAAUCAAAGCAACUGACCCAUGCUUGCUUUUGCACUUUGCUUUUUGAGUUGUGUUGUUUUCUUACCUUUCCCUUUUAAUUCCCUGUUUGUUCUUGUGAAGAGGGGAAAUAAAGACAGUGAAAAAAAGAGAGAAAAGUUUUGAGAGGCACUGCUAUCUGAUCCUUAAGGCUGCCCAUGUUCUCUGUCAAGUACAUUCCAAUUGUAUGAUAAUUCAGGUUAUAUAUGUAAAGUAAAUGGAAAGAGUUCAUCUUUGAGUGAUUCUAUGAGAUGGCAUGACACAUGAGAGAUCGCCCUGGUAAAGUGAGGUUCAAAAGCAGCUCCAAAGUGAGCAGCACCCUGAAGAAAUAAACAUCGCUUUCAGGAGAUCUGUCACAAUCCUUUUAUUGGGUGAAAUGAAUUGGUGUGAUAUUGCAUAGAAAUGACCAAAAUUAUGGUUCUGAUUCUCUCCUAAAUACCCUUUGAAAUGACAUCUUUAGUGGCUCUUCUGCCACCGUUCGAUCCAACCUAGGCGGCCCAGAUCGAAGUGGUAAAGAUGCCUGAAGUAUAUGUUGCGUAAGGGCCCCUAUACUGAUUCGUAUUACCGUUUAAGCCCGCUCAUAGACGGAUCACAAUUAGAGAUGCAAGUGGAUAGCAAUGGGCAGUUGUGAGUCACUAUUUAGUUUUUUUUAAUUUAAUUAGAUGAGAGUGAAUUUUUAGUUAAAUUUUUUAGUUUUAGAUCAACCUAAUAACCAAAAAUUACCAAACCUACAUCUCUAAUCGCGAUCCAAUUUGGGUCGUCAAUGACCGUUGGAUCUACCUUAGGCGGCCCAGAUCGAGGUGGCGUAGAAGCCCAAAGUAUAGUUUCACAGGGAUCCCUUGCAUUACUUUGCAGUUCCAAGAACUCCGUCACCAACUAAAACGAAGAACUCCAUCACAGACCGGCUUCGCCGCCGGUCCGCGGAGGAGGUGGAGGCCGGCGAGCUCGACGCCGCUAGGAACAUACGACGGCACGUUCUCGCGGAGAGCCUCUUCCGCGCCGCCACACCGUCGCAGAUCCCUCGCCAUCUCCGCAUUUCUAGUUGGAGCUCGGCAUCCGCAUCCCGCGAGAAUUUGUUCCAAACUGCUAGAGCUCGACCUCAGUGAGCAAGCAAAGCUGGAGGCUGGAGCCAUUCUUUUCCUGCUGCAGUCUACAAGUUGCUUGGGCACUCUUUGGGUUUGCAUAGCAUGGAUGAACAUUCUAUAUUUCUAGACUAAAUAGGUCAAUGAUGCCAUCAUAUCCUCAGAAUGCAACGGGUUCUCCAUAUCUUCAACUUUCUGAAUUUUUCUGCUUACAGACCAUCGGAAUUCUAAUUGCAUGCUGAUUAUAAUACGUAAACAUGUGAUGUGAGAAGCGUAGAAUUGAUGCUUCUAAUCACAACCACAUAGAUGAAUGACACUGGCACAUCAUAAUGCUCUUUUGCUAUGACAACCUCAAUCAAAGUAAGGGGGGAAAUCGUAACUUCAGUUACCAGUUCUGUCUUCGCUGUUUACAGUGUCUAAUUUUUCUUGAUGGAUUUAGCUACGGAGAUUACAUUGAUGUGCCGCGGCCAUGGGUUACAUACUUCCACUCGACCAUCUUAGAGCCAUGGGGUGUGCAAACUCUGCGAGCCAGGUUUUGCAGAGUGGCAUUGGUAGACUGAAUUGGGAAAAUUUUCACCUGCUGUCUAAACUCUGGAGACGUCAAAGUUCAAACCACUUAUACAGGACAUUCCUGAAGAAGUGUUUGGAAAUUCAUCAGGCUAUAUGGCCAGUAACACGUCAACAAACAAACGAGUAAACAACAACGGUUGGUGUAGAGUCACACAAAAUUUUCAGGCAGCCUUAAUCUCGAACAAAAUUCUCAUUCCUUUGUAUCAAGAUGCUCCGAAGUCAAACUACAGAUGUCAAGAGGAGACAGUACUCCAUACGACCAUACUACUAAAAUCCUGCCUCAUUUGUUAUGUACAACUCAGUAACCGUAAAACAUGAUUGGGGGGGGGGGGGGG
Molecule: long non-coding RNA, 2145 nt
Organism: Phragmites australis (common reed)
Lineage: Eukaryota; Viridiplantae; Streptophyta; Magnoliopsida; Poales; Poaceae
Exons: 2
Source: RefSeq, a predicted model, not a curated record